CCUGGUGCCUAUGGUGCGAUGGAACCACUCUGACCCAUCUCGAACUCAGUUGUGAAACGUCGUUACGGCCAAGAUACUUCAGGGGUAGCUCUGCGGGAAAAUAGCUCGGUGCCAGGU
RNAcentral lists this ribosomal RNA (117 nucleotides) under Pseudanabaena sp. CRU_2_10. Lineage: Bacteria; Bacillati; Cyanobacteriota; Cyanophyceae; Pseudanabaenales; Pseudanabaenaceae. The record is from RNAcentral.